GUGCUGACUUCCGCAGCACGUACGCUAAAAUCGGAACGACACAGAGAUUAGCACGGCCCCUGCAAAGGGAUGACACUCAAAUUCGUGAAGGGGUCCGUAUUGAU
Small nuclear RNA from Fukomys damarensis (Damara mole-rat), 104 nucleotides. The record is from Ensembl. NCBI's taxonomy places the organism in Eukaryota, Metazoa, Chordata, Mammalia, Rodentia, Bathyergidae.